Molecule: ribosomal RNA, 738 nt
Filed under: Cronobacter sp. qm2-1
Lineage: Bacteria; Pseudomonadati; Pseudomonadota; Gammaproteobacteria; Enterobacterales; Enterobacteriaceae
Also listed under: 1 other name
Description: bacterial SSU rRNA
Rfam family: Bacterial small subunit ribosomal RNA
Source: RNAcentral
UGCAGUCGAACGGUAACAGGGAGCAGCUUGCUGCUCCGCUGACGAGUGGCGGACGGGUGAGUAAUGUCUGGGGAUCUGCCCGAUGGAGGGGGAUAACCACUGGAAACGGUGGCUAAUACCGCAUAACGUCGCAAGACCAAAGUGGGGGACCUUCGGGCCUCACACCAUCGGAUGAACCCAGAUGGGAUUAGCUAGUAGGUGGGGUAACGGCUCACCUAGGCGACGAUCCCUAGCUGGUCUGAGAGGAUGACCAGCCACACUGGAACUGAGACACGGUCCAGACUCCUACGGGAGGCAGCAGUGGGGAAUAUUGCACAAUGGGCGCAAGCCUGAUGCAGCCAUGCCGCGUGUAUGAAGAAGGCCUUCGGGUUGUAAAGUACUUUCAGCGGGGAGGAAGGGAGCAAGGUUAAUAACCUGGUUCAUUGACGUUACCCGCAGAAGAAGCACCGGCUAACUCCGUGCCAGCAGCCGCGGUAAUACGGAGGGUGCAAGCGUUAAUCGGAAUUACUGGGCGUAAAGCGCACGCAGGCGGUCUGUCAAGUCGGAUGUGAAAUCCCCGGGCUCAACCCGGGAACUGCAUUCGAAACUGGCAGGCUAGAGUCUUGUAGAGGGGGGUAGAAUUCCAGGUGUAGCGGUGAAAUGCGUAGAGAUCUGGAGGAAUACCGGUGGCGAAGGCGGCCCCCUGGACAAAGACUGACGCUCAGGUGCGAAAGCGUGGGGAGCAAACAGGAUUAGAUA